CAGAAGGAUGAAUGGCACUGGGCUCUGACGGCCAAGCCGGUCAUGACAGACAUGCCCCAUUGUGGCAGGCCUAGAAAACCUCGCCCACUGAUCUGUGGCUCAUACACAACCAACGUUAUCUUCCAUAGCUUGGUUUUC
This 138-nucleotide small nucleolar RNA is filed under the name Trichophyton rubrum BMU01672. RNAcentral describes it as "CD-box snoRNA". The stretch from base 1 to 93 matches the Rfam family "A. fumigatus snoRNA Afu_513". Lineage: Eukaryota; Fungi; Ascomycota; Eurotiomycetes; Onygenales; Arthrodermataceae. The record is from RNAcentral.